AAUAUUGCACAAUGGGCGCAAGCCUGAUGCAGCCAUGCCGCGUGUAUGGAGAAGGCCUUCGGGUUGUAAAGUACUUUCAGCAGUGAGGAAGGUGGAUAUGUUAAUAGCAUAUUCAUUUGACGUUAGCUGCAGAAGAAGCACCGGCUAACUCCGUGCCAGCAGCCGCGGUAAUACGGAGGGUGCGAGCGUUAAUCGGAAUUACUGGGCGUAAAGCGCAUGCAGGUGGUUUGUUAAGUCAGAUGUGAAAGCCCGGGGCUCAACCUCGGAAUUGCAUUUGAAACUGGCAAACUAGAGUACUGUAGAGGGGGUAGAAUUUCAGGUGUAGCGGUGAAAUGCGUAGAGAUCUGAAGGAAUACCGGUGGCGAAGGCGGCCCCCUGGACAGAUACUGACACUCAGAUGCGAAAGCGUGGGGAGCAAACAGGAUUAGAUACCCUGGUAG
This 440-nucleotide ribosomal RNA is filed under the name uncultured bacterium. Its description in RNAcentral is "bacterial SSU rRNA". It matches the Rfam family "Bacterial small subunit ribosomal RNA", at positions 360 to 793 of the family's 1533-position model. The record is from RNAcentral.